Molecule: ribosomal RNA, 199 nt
Filed under: Pseudomonas aeruginosa
Lineage: Bacteria; Pseudomonadati; Pseudomonadota; Gammaproteobacteria; Pseudomonadales; Pseudomonadaceae
Description: partial 16S ribosomal RNA
Rfam family: Bacterial small subunit ribosomal RNA
Source: RNAcentral
GAACUGAAGAGUUUGAUCAUGGCUCAGAUUGAACGCUGGCGGCAGGCCUAACACAUGCAAGUCGAGCGGAUGAAGGGAGCUUGCUCCUGGAUUCAGCGGCGGACGGGUGAGUAAUGCCUAGGAAUCUGCCUGGUAGUGGGGGAUAACGUCCGGAAACGGGCGCUAAUACCGCAUACGUCCUGAGGGAGAAAGUGGGGGA